RNAcentral lists this ribosomal RNA (448 nucleotides) under uncultured bacterium. Its description in RNAcentral is "bacterial SSU rRNA". It matches the Rfam family "Bacterial small subunit ribosomal RNA", at positions 330 to 798 of the family's 1533-position model. The record is from RNAcentral.
GCCAGACUCCUACGGGAGGCAGCAGUGGGGAAUAUUGCACAAUGGGGGGAACCCUGAUGCAGCGACGCCGCGUGGGUGAAGGAGCACCUCGGUGCGUAAAGCCCUAUCGGCAGGGAAGAAACAGACGGUACCUGACUAAGAAGCCCCGGCUAACUACGUGCCAGCAGCCGCGGUAAUACGUAGGGGGCAAGCGUUAUCCGGAUUCACUGGGUGUAAAGGGAGCGUAGACGGCGGCGCAAGUCUGGAGUGAAAGCCCGGGGGCCAACCCCGGGACUGCUCUGGAAACUGCGGCGCUGGAGUGCGGGAGGGGCAGGCGGAAUUCCUGGUGUAGCGGUGAAAUGCGUAGAUAUCAGGAGGAACACCGGCGGCGAAGGCGGACUGCUGGACCGUGACUGACGUUGAGGCUCGAGAGCGUGGGGAGCAAACAGGAUUAGAUACCCCAGUACAC